This 447-nucleotide ribosomal RNA is filed under the name uncultured bacterium. RNAcentral describes it as "partial 16S ribosomal RNA". It matches the Rfam family "Bacterial small subunit ribosomal RNA", at positions 29 to 523 of the family's 1533-position model. The record is from RNAcentral.
AGCGAACGCUGGCGGCAGGCUUAACACAUGCAAGUCGAACGCCCCGCAAGGGGAGUGGCCGACGGGUGAGUAACACGUGGGAACGUACCCUUUGGUUCGUGAUAACUUGGGGAAACUCAAGCUAAUACCGGAUAAGCCCUUCUGGGGAAGGGUUUACCGCCGAAGGAUCGGCCCGAGUCUGAUUAGAGAGUUGGUGAGGUAAUGGCUCACCAAGGGGACGAUCAGUAGCUGGUCUGGGAGGAUGAUCAGCCACCCUGGGACUGAGACACGGCCCAGACUCCUACGGGAGGCGGCAGUGGGGAAUAUUGGACAAUGGGGGCAACCCUGAUCCAGCCAUGCCGCGUGAGUGAUGAAGGCCUUAGGGUUGUAAAGCUCUUUUACCCGGGACGAUAAUGACUGUACCGGGAGAAUAAGCCCCGGCUAACUUCGUGCCAGCCGCCGCGGUAA